RNAcentral lists this ribosomal RNA (292 nucleotides) under uncultured bacterium. RNAcentral describes it as "partial 16S ribosomal RNA". It matches the Rfam family "Bacterial small subunit ribosomal RNA", at positions 505 to 796 of the family's 1533-position model. The record is from RNAcentral.
GUGUCAGCAGCCGCGGUAACACGGGGGGAGCAAGCGUUGUUCGGAAUCACUGGGCGUAAAGGGCGUGUAGGCGGUCAAGUAAGUGGGGUGUGAAAGCCCCCGGCUCACCCGGGGAUCUGCAUUCCAAACUGCUUGGCUUGAGUACGGGAGAGGAUGAGGGAAUUCCUGGUGUAGCGGUGAAAUGCGUAGAUAUCAGGAGGAACACCGGUGGCGAAGGCGCUCAUCUGGCCCGAUACUGACGCUGAGGCGCGAAAGCUAGGGGAGCAAACGGGAUUAGAAACCCGCGUAGUCC